AGUGAACGCUGGCGGCGUGGAUUAGGCAUGCAAGUCGAGCGAUUCGGUUUUUGGCCGUAAGGCUAGAAGCCGAAUAGCGGCAAACGGGUGAGUAACACGUGAGUAAUCUGCCUUCAGGACUGGAAUAGCCCAGAGAAAUUUGGGGUAAUGACAGAUGUGACUACGACCCUGCAUGGGGACGUAGCAAAAGACGGGGACCGCAAGGCCCGUCACCGGAAGAGGAGCUCGCGGCCUAUCAGCUUGUUGGUGAGGUAACGGCCCACCAAGGCGAAGACGGGUAGCUAGUCUGAGAGGAUGUUUAGCCACACUGGAACUGAGACACUGUCCAGACUCCUACGGGAGGCUG
This 346-nucleotide ribosomal RNA is filed under the name uncultured Omnitrophica bacterium. Its description in RNAcentral is "bacterial SSU rRNA". It matches the Rfam family "Bacterial small subunit ribosomal RNA", at positions 29 to 351 of the family's 1533-position model. Lineage: Bacteria; Pseudomonadati; Candidatus Omnitrophota. The record is from RNAcentral.